GGUAAAAUGGCUGAGGUUAGGCGGUAAAUUGUAAAUUUAAUUACGGGUUUCGACUCUUUUAUCA
RNAcentral lists this transfer RNA (64 nucleotides) under Bostrichoidea sp. 2 KM-2017. RNAcentral's name for it is "tRNA-Tyr". It matches the Rfam family "tRNA". From Rfam's summary of the family: Transfer RNA (tRNA) molecules are approximately 80 nucleotides in length. The record is from RNAcentral. Lineage: Eukaryota; Metazoa; Arthropoda; Insecta; Coleoptera.